CCCUCUAGCCUCAUGGGUGCGGACUGCAGUCGCACGGGCCGUUACUAUAAUGGACCCACCCGCGUCACCCGCGUCAUGCCCCUGGCGCUGCUACUGCUGCUGCCACUGCUGGUUGUUUUCGCUGCGGUAAAUGCACGUGAGUGCAGCGAUGCAGUCCCGCUCAAUACCCCACAAUAAAGAAGCGACAUUACAUCUUUAUCGCCGUGUAAUUACUUUUAAAGAGGAGGGCUGUCCGAGCCUAUUAAGCUUUAGGUUGG
RNAcentral lists this long non-coding RNA (257 nucleotides) under Volvox carteri. RNAcentral's name for it is "long non-coding RNA (VCAR_LNC000541)". The record is from RNAcentral. Lineage: Eukaryota; Viridiplantae; Chlorophyta; Chlorophyceae; Chlamydomonadales; Volvocaceae.